RNAcentral lists this ribosomal RNA (440 nucleotides) under uncultured Herminiimonas sp. RNAcentral describes it as "bacterial SSU rRNA". It matches the Rfam family "Bacterial small subunit ribosomal RNA", at positions 358 to 790 of the family's 1533-position model. Lineage: Bacteria; Pseudomonadati; Pseudomonadota; Betaproteobacteria; Burkholderiales; Oxalobacteraceae. The record is from RNAcentral.
GGAAUUUUGGACAAUGGGCGCAAGCCUGAUCCAGCAAUGCCGCGUGAGUGAAGAAGGCCUUCGGGUUGUAAAGCUCUUUUGUCAGGGAAGAAACGGUGGACUCUAAUACAGAUCACUAAUGACGGUACCUGAAGAAUAAGCACCGGCUAACUACGUGCCAGCAGCCGCGGUAAUACGUAGGGUGCAAGCGUUAAUCGGAAUUACUGGGCGUAAAGCGUGCGCAGGCGGUUUGGUAAGACAGAUGUGAAAUCCCCGGGCUCAACCUGGGAAUUGCAUUUGUGACUGCCCGGCUAGAGUGUGUCAGAGGGGGGUAGAAUUCCACGUGUAGCAGUGAAAUGCGUAGAGAUGUGGAGGAAUACCGAUGGCGAAGGCAGCCCCCUGGGAUAACACUGACGCUCAUGCACGAAAGCGUGGGGAGCAAACAGGAUUAGAUACCCCGG